Molecule: ribosomal RNA, 2902 nt
Filed under: Klebsiella pneumoniae
Lineage: Bacteria; Pseudomonadati; Pseudomonadota; Gammaproteobacteria; Enterobacterales; Enterobacteriaceae
Description: 23S ribosomal RNA
Rfam family: Bacterial large subunit ribosomal RNA
Source: RNAcentral
GGUUAAGCGACUAAGCGUACACGGUGGAUGCCCUGGCAGUCAGAGGCGAUGAAGGACGUGCUAAUCUGCGAAAAGCGUCGGUAAGGUGAUAUGAACCGUUAUAACCGGCGAUGUCCGAAUGGGGAAACCCAGUGUGAUUCGUCACACUAUCGUUAACUGAAUACAUAGGUUAACGAGGCGAACCGGGGGAACUGAAACAUCUAAGUACCCCGAGGAAAAGAAAUCAACCGAGAUUCCCCCAGUAGCGGCGAGCGAACGGGGAGCAGCCCAGAGUCUGAAUCAGCUUGUGUGUUAGUGGAACGGUCUGGAAAGUCCGACGGUACAGGGUGAUAGUCCCGUACACCAAAAUGCACAGGUUGUGAACUCGAAGAGUAGGGCGGGACACGUGGUAUCCUGUCUGAAUAUGGGGGGACCAUCCUCCAAGGCUAAAUACUCCUGACUGACCGAUAGUGAACCAGUACCGUGAGGGAAAGGCGAAAAGAACCCCGGCGAGGGGAGUGAAAAAGAACCUGAAACCGUGUACGUACAAGCAGUGGGAGCACCUUCGGGUGUGACUGCGUACCUUUUGUAUAAUGGGUCAGCGACUUAUAUUCUGUAGCAAGGUUAACCGUAUAGGGGAGCCGCAGGGAAACCGAGUCUUAACUGGGCGUUAAGUUGCAGGGUAUAGACCCGAAACCCGGUGAUCUAGCCAUGGGCAGGUUGAAGGUUGGGUAACACUAACUGGAGGACCGAACCGACUAAUGUUGAAAAAUUAGCGGAUGACUUGUGGCUGGGGGUGAAAGGCCAAUCAAACCGGGAGAUAGCUGGUUCUCCCCGAAAGCUAUUUAGGUAGCGCCUCGUGAAUUCAUCUUCGGGGGUAGAGCACUGUUUCGGCUAGGGGGUCAUCCCGACUUACCAACCCGAUGCAAACUACGAAUACCGAAGAAUGUUAUCACGGGAGACACACGGCGGGUGCUAACGUCCGUCGUGAAGAGGGAAACAACCCAGACCGCCAGCUAAGGUCCCAAAGUCAUGGUUAAGUGGGAAACGAUGUGGGAAGGCACAGACAGCCAGGAUGUUGGCUUAGAAGCAGCCAUCAUUUAAAGAAAGCGUAAUAGCUCACUGGUCGAGUCGGCCUGCGCGGAAGAUGUAACGGGGCUAAACCAUGCACCGAAGCUGCGGCAGCGACACUAUGUGUUGUUGGGUAGGGGAGCGUUCUGUAAGCCUGCGAAGGUGACCUGUGAGGGUUGCUGGAGGUAUCAGAAGUGCGAAUGCUGACAUAAGUAACGAUAAAGCGGGUGAAAAGCCCGCUCGCCGGAAGACCAAGGGUUCCUGUCCAACGUUAAUCGGGGCAGGGUGAGUCGACCCCUAAGGCGAGGCCGAAAGGCGUAGUCGAUGGGAAACAGGUUAAUAUUCCUGUACUUGGUGUUACUGCGAAGGGGGGACGGAGAAGGCUAUGUUAGCCGGGCGACGGUUGUCCCGGUUUAAGCAUGUAGGCUGAUUGUCCAGGCAAAUCCGGAUAAUCAAGGCUGAGGUGUGAUGACGAGGCACUACGGUGCUGAAGUAACAAAUGCCCUGCUUCCAGGAAAAGCCUCUAAGCAUCAGGUAACAUUAAAUCGUACCCCAAACCGACACAGGUGGUCAGGUAGAGAAUACCAAGGCGCUUGAGAGAACUCGGGUGAAGGAACUAGGCAAAAUGGUGCCGUAACUUCGGGAGAAGGCACGCUGGUGUGUAGGUGAAGUCCCUGCGGAUGGAGCUGAGACCAGUCGAAGAUACCAGCUGGCUGCAACUGUUUAUUAAAAACACAGCACUGUGCAAACACGAAAGUGGACGUAUACGGUGUGACGCCUGCCCGGUGCCGGAAGGUUAAUUGAUGGGGUUAUCCGUAAGGAGAAGCUCUUGAUCGAAGCCCCGGUAAACGGCGGCCGUAACUAUAACGGUCCUAAGGUAGCGAAAUUCCUUGUCGGGUAAGUUCCGACCUGCACGAAUGGCGUAAUGAUGGCCAGGCUGUCUCCACCCGAGACUCAGUGAAAUUGAACUCGCUGUGAAGAUGCAGUGUACCCGCGGCAAGACGGAAAGACCCCGUGAACCUUUACUAUAGCUUGACACUGAACAUUGAGCCUUGAUGUGUAGGAUAGGUGGGAGGCUUUGAAGCGUGGACGCCAGUCUGCGUGGAGCCAACCUUGAAAUACCACCCUUUAAUGUUUGAUGUUCUAACGUUGGCCCCUGACCGGGGUUGCGGACAGUGUCUGGUGGGUAGUUUGACUGGGGCGGUCUCCUCCCAAAGCGUAACGGAGGAGCACGAAGGUUAGCUAAUCCUGGUCGGACAUCAGGAGGUUAGUGCAAUGGCAUAAGCUAGCUUGACUGCGAGCGUGACGGCGCGAGCAGGUGCGAAAGCAGGUCAUAGUGAUCCGGUGGUUCUGAAUGGAAGGGCCAUCGCUCAACGGAUAAAAGGUACUCCGGGGAUAACAGGCUGAUACCGCCCAAGAGUUCAUAUCGACGGCGGUGUUUGGCACCUCGAUGUCGGCUCAUCACAUCCUGGGGCUGAAGUAGGUCCCAAGGGUAUGGCUGUUCGCCAUUUAAAGUGGUACGCGAGCUGGGUUUAGAACGUCGUGAGACAGUUCGGUCCCUAUCUGCCGUGGGCGCUGGAGAAUUGAGGGGGGCUGCUCCUAGUACGAGAGGACCGGAGUGGACGCAUCACUGGUGUUCGGGUUGUCAUGCCAAUGGCACUGCCCGGUAGCUAAAUGCGGAAGAGAUAAGUGCUGAAAGCAUCUAAGCACGAAACUUGCCCCGAGAUGAGUUCUCCCUGAGACUUUAAGUCUCCUGAAGGAACGUUAAAGACGAUGACGUUGAUAGGCCGGGUGUGUAAGCGCAGCGAUGCGUUGAGCUAACCGGUACUAAUGAACCGUGAGGCUUAACCUU